RNAcentral lists this ribosomal RNA (253 nucleotides) under uncultured bacterium. RNAcentral describes it as "partial 16S ribosomal RNA". It matches the Rfam family "Bacterial small subunit ribosomal RNA", at positions 524 to 776 of the family's 1533-position model. The record is from RNAcentral.
GACAGAGGGUGCAAACGUUGUUCGGAAUUACUGGGCGUAAAGCGUGUGUAGGCGGUCUCUUAAGUCGGAUGUGAAAGCCCCGGGCUCAACCCGGGAAGUGCACUCGAAACUGGGAGGCUAGAGUACUGGAGAGGUUGGUGGAAUUCUCGGUGUAGAGGUGAAAUUCGUAGAUAUCGAGAGGAACACCGGUGGCGAAGGCGGCCUUCUGGACAGUGACUGACGCUGAGACGCGAAAGCGUGGGGAGCAAACAGG